UCCGGUUUGUCACCGGCAGUCUCGUUAAAGUGCCCAACUUAAUGAUGGCAAUUAACGACAAGGGUUGCGCUCGUUGCGGGACUUAACCCAACAUCUCACGACACGAGCUGACGACAGCCAUGCAGCACCUGUGUUCAGGUUCCCUUUCGGGCACCAAGCCAUCUCUGGCAAGUUCCUGACAUGUCAAGGGUAGGUAAGGUUUUUCGCGUUGCAUCGAAUUAAUCCACAUCAUCCACCGCUUGUGCGGGUCCCCGUCAAUUCCUUUGAGUUUUAACCUUGCGGCCGUACUCCCCAGGCGGUCAACUUCUCGCGUUAGCUACGGUACUAAAAGGUUUUACCCUCCCAACACCUAGUUGACAUCGUUUAGGGCGUGGACUAC
Molecule: unclassified non-coding RNA, 379 nt
Filed under: uncultured Gammaproteobacteria bacterium
Lineage: Bacteria; Pseudomonadati; Pseudomonadota; Gammaproteobacteria
Description: contains 16S-23S intergenic spacer region
Source: RNAcentral